Molecule: ribosomal RNA, 460 nt
Filed under: uncultured bacterium
Lineage: Bacteria
Description: partial 16S ribosomal RNA
Rfam family: Bacterial small subunit ribosomal RNA
Source: RNAcentral
CCUACGGGAGGCAGCAGUGAGGAAUAUUGGUCAAUGGGCGCGAGCCUGAACCAGCCAAGUAGCGUGAAGGAUGACUGCCCUACGGGUUGUAAACUUCUUUUAUACAGGAAUAAAGUGCGGCACGUGUGCCUUUUUGUAUGUACUUUAUGAAUAAGGAUCGGCUAACUCCGUGCCAGCAGCCGCGGUAAUACGGAGGGUCCGAGCGUUAUCCGGAUUUAUUGGGUUUAAAGGGAGCGUAGAUGGGUUGUUAAGUCAGCUGUGAAAGUUUGCGGCUCAACCGGAAAAUUGCAAUUGAUACUGGCAGGCUUGAGUACAGAUGAGGUAGGCGGAAUUCGUGGUGUAGCGGUGAAAUGCAUAGAUAUCACGAAGAACUCCGAUUGCGAAGGCAGCUUACUAAACUGCCACUGACGUUGAGGCUCGAAAGUGUGGGUAUCAAACAGGAUUAGAUACCCUUGUAGUC